CAAUAGCGUAUAUUAAAGUUGUUGCGGUUAAAAAGCUCGUAGUUGGAUCUCGGCGAGUAGGGGGCGGUUAGUUGCUUAACUGUACUGCUCCAUUUACUCGUGUUUUUGACGGAGGUUGCCGGGUGCUCUUCAUCGAGUGUCCGGUGAUGCCGUCAGGUUUACUUUGAAAAAAAUAGAGUGCUCAAAGCAGGCUUCACACGCUUGAAUAUUCGUGCAUGGAAUAAUAGAAUAGGACGUCGUUUCUAUUUUGUUGGUUUUCGGAAAUUGACGUAAUGAUUAAUAGGGACAGUCGGGGUCAUUAGUAUUCAAACGACAGAGGUGAAAUUCUUGGACCGUUUGAAGACUAACUACUGCGAAAGCAUUUGCCAAGAAUGUUUUCAUUAA
RNAcentral lists this ribosomal RNA (384 nucleotides) under uncultured eukaryote. Its description in RNAcentral is "partial 18S ribosomal RNA". It matches the Rfam family "Eukaryotic small subunit ribosomal RNA", at positions 592 to 976 of the family's 1831-position model. The record is from RNAcentral.